Molecule: non-coding RNA, 21 nt
Organism: Caenorhabditis elegans
Lineage: Eukaryota; Metazoa; Nematoda; Chromadorea; Rhabditida; Rhabditidae
Source: Ensembl
UAAUACUGCGAUUUGAGUUGC